CCUACGGGUGGCAGCAGUGGGGAAUAUUGCACAAUGGGGGAAACCCUGAUGCAGCGACGCCGCGUGAGUGAAGAAGUAUUUCGGUACGUAAAGCUCUAUCAGCAGGGAAGAAAAUGACGGUACCUGACUAAGAAGCCCCGGCUAACUACGUGCCAGCAGCCGCGGUAAUACGUAGGGGGCAAGCGUUAUCCGGAUUUACUGGGUGUAAAGGGAGCGUAGACGGCAGCGCAAGUCUGGAGUGAAAUCCCAUGGCUUAACCAUGGAACUGCUUCGGAAACUGUGCAGCUAGAGUGCAGGAGAGGUAAGCGGAAUUCCUAGUGUAGCGGUGAAAUGCGUAGAUAUUAGGAGGAACACCAGUGGCGAAGGCGGCUUACUGGACUGUAACUGACGUUGAGGCUCGAAAGCGUGGGGAGCAAACAGGAUUAGAUACCCCAGUAGUC
This 440-nucleotide ribosomal RNA is filed under the name uncultured bacterium. Its description in RNAcentral is "partial 16S ribosomal RNA". It matches the Rfam family "Bacterial small subunit ribosomal RNA", at positions 338 to 795 of the family's 1533-position model. The record is from RNAcentral.